CUUAUACUUCCUCCAUCCCAAAAUUCUUGUCUUACGUUUGUCUAUAUAUGAAUGUAUCUAGUCACAUUUUAGUAUUUGGAUACAUUCAUUUUUAGACAAACCUAAGACAAGAAUUUUGGGACGGAUGGAGUAUUUU
Non-coding RNA from Hordeum vulgare subsp. vulgare (domesticated barley), 136 nucleotides. The record is from Rfam. NCBI's taxonomy places the organism in Eukaryota, Viridiplantae, Streptophyta, Magnoliopsida, Poales, Poaceae.